GGAUGCAAUCGUCUUAUUAUUAACUCUGAUAAUAUGGAAGUCAUUGACACAAUGAAGAAUGAAGGACAAUCGGCAGGAGUUGCGGCGGCAGCCUUCGAGGAUUGCUACUUCAUGGCAUGUGAUUUUCCGUUGACUAGAUUUGAACAUUGUAAUAGGGUAGCUAAUAAGGUUGCUCAUGAACUUGCUAGGCUAGCUAAAGUUUGUGUAACUAGAGAUUGGUUUGAGGAGCCUAUGAAAAAUAUUGUACCUUUUCUUAUAGAUGAUAUAAUCAUUAUUUUCAAUUAA
RNAcentral lists this ribosomal RNA (285 nucleotides) under Triticum aestivum (bread wheat). Its description in RNAcentral is "partial small subunit ribosomal RNA". Lineage: Eukaryota; Viridiplantae; Streptophyta; Magnoliopsida; Poales; Poaceae. The record is from RNAcentral.